UCCGCCGGGGGGUUUCCCUACACAAGCAGGGUCCCAAGUUUGGGAAACACUGCACUAGAUAGUGAGGACUUGAGGCUGGGAGAGUACAGGGCCAAACCACAAGGGAGUGCUGUGGGAGACCCAAGCUGUGACAGUUUUAUUCUGUUUUCUGGUAAAAUGGAAUUGGCAUCCUGCCCAGCAGUAUGUCUCUCUGCUGUUCCACGGUUCCCCAAAUGUGAGAGGAGAGUGAAACGACAUUCCAUUAUCAAGCUAAACUUGUACCGAACACCUGGAGGUUUAGUUUAGGUUCCCUUGAAACUGUGAUGCUCAGAGCAAUAAUUAUCUAACAGGUAAAUCAGAUGCUCUCCAAGACUGUUUCUAGUGACAUGUGGAGCCAUCUUUUAGCCAGACAUUUCAUUAUGCUGUGGCAUUAAGAAUUAAAUAUUGAGUGAAUGUGACUGGAAGAACAUUUCCCAAAGUGUAAAUUGGAUUUAGAAGUCUGGGGGUUUCACCUCAUGCAAAGCACCAGAGAAGCUUGGUUUGGGAUCUGCUUAAACUUUGAUGGGAAAAGUUUAAGACCACAAGACUGAGGUCUCCAGGUCUACUCCGAAUUAACACUGCAAUUCUCGUGGAAGAAUGUUAACAUGCUCUGCACAUGGACUGCCUAUUAGACUAUAAUCCUUUUAAUUGAUUCCAGAAGGAUUUUUAUGAAUCAGCAGCUUCACCAUCUCUGCCAUGAAACUUACCUAGGGACUUUAUUCUAAUCUGUAUGUAUAUUGAUCUUUUAACCAUAGCAACUCUUUUUUUCCUUUUUAUUAAUAAAUCUUAGAUUUAGUUAAUAAGGAUUGGCUCUAAGCAUGUAUUUGGGUAAAAACUAAAAUAUUCAUUGACCUGGCAGGUAUGUGUCUGAUCUCUUGGGAUUGGUAGAACUUUAUAUAUGGUGAAUAAGGUUUUUAUUAACCUUCACUAUGUUAGACUUGGCUGUCUGGGUGGGAGCCAAAGGCUGGAUUGCUUAAAGGAGACUAUUUUGGAUUCUGGGAACCAGUAAGGUAUUACAGAAGCUGCUUGGGUUAUUGGCUUGGUGAAAUCUAAUUACAGAAUAAAUCACCAGUUUGGGGAUUUGUCUGCCCUAUUCUUUGCCAUUUGCCCUGAAUAAGCAUUCUCAGUAUGGCCCCUCCAGGCAUCAUGGUCACACAGGGGUAAAACCAAAGCUGCAAGAGAGGUAAAAAAUUGUUCCCAUUUGUCCAAAUGGGGUUAACUCUGAAACUCUUCAACCUCCAUUUGGAAGAAAGAGAGGUCAGAUACCAAAAACUUUUCACUGGCAGGAUUUAAUAAUCUCUGGUGUGUAGGGUUAUAUUUAUGACUCCCUAAAAGCUCUAGGAAAGUGUUUGCUAGUAUAUAACACUACCACUGGGCUGAUGGCCUGGCUUGUAAUGAUGUUCUGUCUCACCAAAUUACACCAUUUA
Mauremys mutica (yellowpond turtle) is the source of this 1445-nucleotide long non-coding RNA. RefSeq lists it as uncharacterized. The record is from RefSeq and is a predicted model, not a curated record. Lineage: Eukaryota; Metazoa; Chordata; Testudines; Geoemydidae. The transcript is spliced from 5 exons.